This 76-nucleotide transfer RNA is filed under the name Bacillota bacterium. Its description in RNAcentral is "tRNA-Arg". It matches the Rfam family "tRNA". From Rfam's summary of the family: Transfer RNA (tRNA) molecules are approximately 80 nucleotides in length. Their secondary structure includes four short double-helical elements and three loops (D, anti-codon, and T loops). RNAcentral also lists the same sequence under 1 other name. The record is from RNAcentral. Lineage: Bacteria; Bacillati; Bacillota.
GCGCCCGUAGCUCAGUGGAUAGAGCGCCUGACUACGAAUCAGGAGGCCGUAGGUUCAAAUCCUGCCGGGCGCACCA